GGGGUUGUGGCUCAGCGGUAGAGCACUCACCAAGCACGUGUGAGGUGCUGGGUUCAAUCCUCAGCACCAUUA
Molecule: transfer RNA, 72 nt
Filed under: Ictidomys tridecemlineatus (thirteen-lined ground squirrel)
Lineage: Eukaryota; Metazoa; Chordata; Mammalia; Rodentia; Sciuridae
Description: Spermophilus tridecemlineatus (thirteen-lined ground squirrel) tRNA
Rfam family: tRNA
About the family: Transfer RNA (tRNA) molecules are approximately 80 nucleotides in length. Their secondary structure includes four short double-helical elements and three loops (D, anti-codon, and T loops). Further hydrogen bonds mediate the characteristic L-shaped molecular structure. tRNAs have two regions of fundamental functional importance: the anti-codon, which is responsible for specific mRNA codon recognition, and the 3' end, to which the tRNAs corresponding amino acid is attached (by aminoacyl-tRNA synthetases). tRNAs cope with the degeneracy of the genetic code in two manners: having more than one tRNA (with a specific anti-codon) for a particular amino acid; and 'wobble' base-pairing, i.e. permitting non-standard base-pairing at the 3rd anti-codon position.
Source: Rfam by way of RNAcentral